RNAcentral lists this ribosomal RNA (257 nucleotides) under uncultured bacterium. Its description in RNAcentral is "partial small subunit ribosomal RNA". It matches the Rfam family "Bacterial small subunit ribosomal RNA", at positions 26 to 285 of the family's 1533-position model. The record is from RNAcentral.
AGGACGAACGCUGGCGGCGUGCUUAACACAUGCAAGUCGAGCGGUGAUCCUCCUUCGGGAGGUGAUCAGCGGCGAACGGGUGAGUAACACGUGGGCAACCUGCCCCUCACACUGGGAUAACCUCGGGAAACCGGGGCUAAUACCGGAUACGACCUCGAGCGGCAUCUCUUGAGGUGGAAAGCUCCGACGGUGAGGGAUGGGCCCGCGGCCUAUCAGCUUGUUGGUGGGGUAACGGCCUACCAAGGCGACGACGGGUA